RNAcentral lists this ribosomal RNA (116 nucleotides) under uncultured bacterium. RNAcentral's name for it is "partial 16S ribosomal RNA". It matches the Rfam family "Bacterial small subunit ribosomal RNA", at positions 1357 to 1482 of the family's 1533-position model. The record is from RNAcentral.
ACGCGGUGAAUACGUUCCCGGGCCUUGUACACACCGCCCGUCAAGCCAUGGAAGUUGGGGUACCUAAAGUAUGUAACCGCAAGGAGCGUCCUAAGGGUAAACCGAUAACUGGGGCU